RNAcentral lists this ribosomal RNA (163 nucleotides) under uncultured bacterium. RNAcentral describes it as "partial 16S ribosomal RNA". It matches the Rfam family "Bacterial small subunit ribosomal RNA", at positions 1338 to 1500 of the family's 1533-position model. The record is from RNAcentral.
GUAACCGCGAAUCAGAAUGUCGCGGUGAAUACGUUCCCGGGCCUUGUACACACCGCCCGUCACACCAUGAGAGUCGAUAACACCCGAAGCCUGUGAGCUAACCUUAGGGAGGCAGCAGUCGAAGGUGGGGUUGAUGAUUAGGGUGAAGUCGUAACAAGGUAGC